AAAACUAGCCAGUCUUUUGGGUAUGAAACCCAUUUGGGCGAGAGUAGUACUACGAUGGGUGACCUCAUGAGAAGUCCUCGUGAAAGUGUUU
Triticum aestivum (bread wheat) is the source of this 91-nucleotide non-coding RNA. Lineage: Eukaryota; Viridiplantae; Streptophyta; Magnoliopsida; Poales; Poaceae. The record is from Rfam.